GGAGCAGCCGCGUUUCGGGGACCCGGGCAGGCGUGGGGGGCUGCGCUGAGCUCCAGGCCUCCUGCAGGUAGGGAUGCUUUGCUGACAGAUUCGGGCGUCCUCCCCUGAACGAAUGUCCUGGCGGGGCGUGCCCAGCCACCAUCCAGCUUCAGAGGCAAUGGCCGGGCGUCGUGAGAAGGGGAGGGAGAAGGAAGCGGAAGAGAGAGAGUUGGAAAGACUAGAGGAAGAGGUGGCCACGUCUUUUGCCAUCCCAGCUUUAAACUGCA
RNAcentral lists this long non-coding RNA (266 nucleotides) under Homo sapiens (human). RNAcentral describes it as "non-protein coding lnc-GMDS-6:19". Lineage: Eukaryota; Metazoa; Chordata; Mammalia; Primates; Hominidae. The record is from RNAcentral.